This 306-nucleotide ribosomal RNA is filed under the name uncultured bacterium. RNAcentral's name for it is "partial 16S ribosomal RNA". It matches the Rfam family "Bacterial small subunit ribosomal RNA", at positions 505 to 807 of the family's 1533-position model. The record is from RNAcentral.
GACAGCAGCAGCCGCGGUAAAACAGAGGGUGCGAGCGUUAAUCGGAUUUACUGGGCGUAAAGCGUGCGUAGGCGGCUUCUUAAGUCGGAUGUGAAAUCCCUGAGCUUAACUUAGGAAUUGCAUUCGAUACUGGGAAGCUAGAGUAUGGGAGAGGAUGGUAGAAUUCCAGGUGUAGCGGUGAAAUGCGUAGAGAUCUGGAGGAAUACCGAUGGCGAAGGCAGCCAUCUGGCCUAAUACUGACGCUGAGGUACGAAAGCAUGGGGAGCAAACAGGAUUAGAUACCCCCGUAGUCCCUGUCUCUUAUAC